GUCUCUUCCAACUCUGUGAUUCUAUGAUUCUAUGAUUCUAUGAUUCUAUGAAUCAUAGAAUUGUAGAGUUGGAAGGGUU
Podarcis lilfordi (Lilford's wall lizard) is the source of this 79-nucleotide non-coding RNA. Lineage: Eukaryota; Metazoa; Chordata; Lepidosauria; Squamata; Lacertidae. The record is from the annotation of a GenBank genome assembly.